This 230-nucleotide long non-coding RNA is filed under the name Elaeis guineensis (African oil palm). RNAcentral describes it as "long non-coding RNA (EGUI_LNC008067)". The record is from RNAcentral. Lineage: Eukaryota; Viridiplantae; Streptophyta; Magnoliopsida; Arecales; Arecaceae.
GGUGUUUGCAUUGAAAAGAGAGUCCGCGAUGUGUUUGCAUCAAAGAUAGAGCCAACAACUUAUUUAUGAUGGAGAUGUGAUGGAGAGAGAGCCGACGACAUGUUUGCACUGAAGAGAGAUUGCCGGCAAUAUUUUUGUGAUGGAAAGAGCCGACGAUGUGAUUGCAUCAGAGAAAGAGCCGGCCACAUAUUUGCGAUGGAGAGAGAGAUAGACUGGACUGUUUACAUCAG